AGCGAACGCUGGCGGCAGGCUUAACACAUGCAAGUCGAGCGGCCGUAGCAAUACGGCAGCGGCAGACGGGAGAGUAACACGUGGGAACGUACCCUUCAGUACGGAACAACCAAGGGAGACUUUGGCUAAUACCGUAUACGUCCGUAAGGAGAAAGAUUUAUCGCUGAAGGAUCGGCCCGCGUCCGAUUAGCUAGUUGGUGAGGUAACGGCUCACCAAGGCGACGAUCAGUAGCUGGUCUGAGAGGAUGAUCAGCCUCACUGGGACUGAGACACGGCCCAGACUCCUACGGGAGGCAGCAGUGGGGAAUAUUGGACAAUGGGCGCAGGCCUGAUCCAGCCAUGCCGCGUGGAUGAUGAAGGCCCUAGGGUUGUAAAGUCCUUUUAACGGGGAAGAUAAUGACGGUACCCGUAGAAUAAGCCCCGGCUAACUUCGUGCCAGCAGCCGCAGUAA
RNAcentral lists this ribosomal RNA (451 nucleotides) under uncultured bacterium. RNAcentral describes it as "partial 16S ribosomal RNA". It matches the Rfam family "Bacterial small subunit ribosomal RNA", at positions 29 to 523 of the family's 1533-position model. The record is from RNAcentral.